This 72-nucleotide transfer RNA is filed under the name Phrynosoma platyrhinos (Desert horned lizard). Its description in RNAcentral is "tRNA-OTHER". Lineage: Eukaryota; Metazoa; Chordata; Lepidosauria; Squamata; Phrynosomatidae. The record is from RNAcentral.
UCCAGUGUGGCGUAGUGGUUUGAGUGUUGGCCUGCAACUCUGGAGGUCAGGGUUCAAUUCCCUGCUCAGCCA